This 492-nucleotide ribosomal RNA is filed under the name uncultured bacterium. RNAcentral's name for it is "partial 16S ribosomal RNA". It matches the Rfam family "Bacterial small subunit ribosomal RNA", at positions 29 to 507 of the family's 1533-position model. The record is from RNAcentral.
AGCGAACGCUGGCGGUAGGCCUAACACAUGCAAGUCGAACGGCAGCACAGUAAGAGCUUGCUCUUACGGGUUGCGAGUGGCGGACGUGUGAGGAAUACAUCGGAAUCUACUUUUUCGUGGGGGAUAACGUAGGGAAACUUACGCUAAUACCGCAUACCACCUACGGGUGAAAGCAGUGGAUCUUCUGACCUUGCGCGAUUGAAUUAGCCGAUGUCGGAUUAGCUAGUUGGCGGGGUAAAGGCCCACCAAGGCGACGAUCCGUAGCUGGUCUGAGAGGAUGAUCAGCCACACUGGAACUGAGACACGGUCCAGACUCCUACGGGAGGCAGCAGUGGGGAAUAUUGGACAAUGGGCGCAAGCCUGAUCCAGCCAUACCGCGUGGGUGAAGAAGGCCUUCGGGUUGUAAAGCCCUUUUGUUGGGAAAGAAAAGCAGCAGGUUAAUACCCCGCUGUUCUGACGGUACCCAAAGAAUAAGCACCGGCUAACUUCGUG